Molecule: ribosomal RNA, 253 nt
Filed under: uncultured bacterium
Lineage: Bacteria
Description: partial 16S ribosomal RNA
Rfam family: Bacterial small subunit ribosomal RNA
Source: RNAcentral
UACGUAGGGGGCAAGCGUUGUCCGGAUUUAUUGGGCGUAAAGAGCGUGUAGGCGGUUUGGUAGGUCCGCUGUGAAAACUCGAGGCUCAACCUCGAGACGCCGGUGGAAACCAUCAGACUAGAGUCCGGAAGAGGAGAGCGGAAUUCCUGGUGUAGCGGUGAAAUGCGCAGAUAUCAGGAGGAACACCAAUGGCGAAGGCAGCUCGCUGGGACGGUACUGACGCUGAGACGCGAAAGCGUGGGGAGCAAACAGG